Molecule: non-coding RNA, 186 nt
Organism: Vicia faba (fava bean)
Lineage: Eukaryota; Viridiplantae; Streptophyta; Magnoliopsida; Fabales; Fabaceae
Source: the annotation of a GenBank genome assembly
AUGAAUGGAUUAAAUAUGCGGGAGAGCGAUGGAGAGGUUUUAAGCCUGAUACAAAUUAUAAUUCUAUAUAGUGAUUGUGUGUACUAUGUGAUGGAAAAUAUGUUGGAUAUUGUCUCUAACCGAGUCUUGGAUGCAGGUAAUAAAAAUAAUUUUACUUUGUUAUUUACUUUAUGUUUUGCAACUUAA